GACGAACGCUGGCGGCAUGCCUAAUACAUGCAAGUCGAACGAACCAUCCUGAUGAUUGAAGCUUGCUUCAUGAUUCAGACCUUGGUGAGUGGCGGACGGGUGAGUAACACGUGGGUAACCUGCCCAGAAGUGGGGGAUAACAUUUGGAAACAAGUGCUAAUACCGCAUAACAACUUAGAUCACAUGAUCUUUGUUUAAAAGAUGGUUUUGCUAUCUCUUCUGGAUGGACCCGCGGCGUAUUAGCUAGUUGGUGAGGUAAUAGCUCACCAAGGCGAUGAUACGUAGCCGACCUGAGAGGGUAAUCGGCCACAUUGGGACUGAGACACGGCCCAAACUCCUACGGGAGGCAGCAGUAGGGAAUCUUCCACAAUGGACGAAAGUCUGAUGGAGCAAUGCCGCGUGAGUGAAGAAGGUUUUCGGAUCGUAAAACUCUGUUGUUGAAGAAGAACAUGCGUGAGAGUAACUGUUCACGUACUGACGGUAUUCAACCAGAAAGCCACGGCUAACUACGUGCCAGCAGCCGCGGUAAU
This 530-nucleotide ribosomal RNA is filed under the name uncultured bacterium. RNAcentral's name for it is "bacterial SSU rRNA". It matches the Rfam family "Bacterial small subunit ribosomal RNA", at positions 28 to 524 of the family's 1533-position model. The record is from RNAcentral.